GUGAAAAUCGACGAAUAAGUGUGAUAAAGCAUGUUUAUAAAAUAUUUUAGAAAAAGUCAACUAUGAAUUUCUGUCUCAUUGUCAGUGAAGUGCAAGUGUAUUUAACGGCAAUAGAAAUUGUUACAUUAAGAAGCUUAGGAAAUCUUAUCUACAAAUUACGUAUUGUUGAUAUAAAAGUCGAUUGAUGGAACUUCCAAAAUAUUUUUCUCGUGAAUAGAAAAGAGAAACGCUUGCCGUAGGUAAAGAUAAAACGAACCAAAUGGCGGUCUAUGCACCUCCCGUGAUAAUCAAAUCAAAAUAUUCGUAGGAAUCUUGGAAUUUGUUCUUGUUAUAUCGCGCAAGACAUCUGCACUCCAUCCCGCGCUGCUUGACAGCCAACGGUCUACGUAUGGUAUAUAUAUAUCGGUAUAUAUUCAUACCUUGCCGGCCUUCCGAACUCUCAAUAAGCCCAAGGACCUACCAUAAACUUUUUUUUUAUUUGUUAGAAUAUUUACAAUCAAUUCUCGUUGAGAAUUUUCAGUAACUUCAUUUGGCGUGGUACAAUGACAUGGUUUAUAAUAAUUUAUAUUGUUGA
Molecule: long non-coding RNA, 574 nt
Organism: Bombus terrestris (buff-tailed bumblebee)
Lineage: Eukaryota; Metazoa; Arthropoda; Insecta; Hymenoptera; Apidae
Exons: 3
Source: RefSeq, a predicted model, not a curated record